GUCUAUGGCCAUACCACCCUGAAUGCACCCAAUCUCGUCCGAUCUCAGAAGCUAAGCAGGGUUGGGCCUAGUUAGUACUUGGAUGGGAAAUAAUCAGAAGCAUCAAAAGAUAAAUGAAAAGGAGACCAUUUCCU
This 134-nucleotide ribosomal RNA is filed under the name Chlorocebus sabaeus (green monkey). Lineage: Eukaryota; Metazoa; Chordata; Mammalia; Primates; Cercopithecidae. The record is from RNAcentral.